RNAcentral lists this ribosomal RNA (37 nucleotides) under Phoma herbarum. RNAcentral describes it as "partial 28S large subunit ribosomal RNA". Lineage: Eukaryota; Fungi; Ascomycota; Dothideomycetes; Pleosporales; Didymellaceae. The record is from RNAcentral.
ACUCUUGACCUCGGAUCAGGUAGGGAUACCCGCUGAA